This 475-nucleotide ribosomal RNA is filed under the name Rhagovelia sumatrensis. RNAcentral describes it as "partial 16S ribosomal RNA". Lineage: Eukaryota; Metazoa; Arthropoda; Insecta; Hemiptera; Veliidae. The record is from RNAcentral.
UUUUAAUCCAACAUCGAGGUCGCAAACUUUUCCAUUGAUGAGGACUCUCCGGAAAAAUAACGCUGUUAUCCCUAAGGUAAAUUUUUCUUUUAAUCAAUAAAACUGGAUCAAAACAUAAAUUAAUGGAAAAUUUAAUAAAAGUUAUUAAAAUUUUAAUGUCACCCCAACAAAAUUUUUUAUUCUAAAUAAGCCUUUUAAUAACCAAAAAGAAAAUUUUAUAUAAAAAAUAAAUUUCUAUAGGGUCUUCUCGUCCUAUAAAAAAAUUUAAACUUUUUAAUUUAAAAAUUAAAUUCAAUAAUUAAAAUAAAGAAAGAAAAUUUUUCAUUAAACCAUUCAUACUAGCCUCCAAUUAAAAGACAAAUGAUUAUGCUACCUUCGUACAGUUAAAAUACCGCAGCCUUUUAAUUUUUUAAAUCAAUGGGCAGGCCUGAUUUUAUAUUAAAAUCAAAAAACCAUGUUUUUGUUAAACAGGCGA